This 254-nucleotide ribosomal RNA is filed under the name uncultured bacterium. RNAcentral describes it as "partial 16S ribosomal RNA". It matches the Rfam family "Bacterial small subunit ribosomal RNA", at positions 524 to 776 of the family's 1533-position model. The record is from RNAcentral.
UACGGAGGGGGCAAGCGUUGUUCGGAAUUACUGGGCGUAAAGGGCGCGCAGGCGGCUGCUCAAGUCAGGCGUGAAAGGCCUGGGCUCAACCCGGGAAUUGCGCUUGAGACUGGGCUGGCUUGAGUGCGGGAGAGGAUGGUGGAAUUCCCCAAGUAGAGGUGAAAUUCGUAGAUAUGGGGAGGAACACCGGUGGCGAAGGCGGCCACCUGGCCGGUAACUGACGCUGAGACGCGAAAGCAUGGGGAGCAAACAGG